UUUCCGUAGGUGAACCUGCGGAAGGAUCAUUAUUGUAUAACCUAGGUGCAAGGGCUGUCGCCGGCCCGAAAGGUCGUGGACUCCCGAGUUCCCUCACACACAUCCAUCUCCCCCCUAUUUGCACCACCGCGUGGGUCCCCCUUUAGCUUGCUCAGAUGGGGGCUUACGUUUUCACACAAAAUUUGUAUGCAGUGUAGAAUGUAUUUUUUGUUUUUUCGGUCCCGAAAACAAUACAACUUUCAACAACGGAUCUCUUGGCUCUC
This 263-nucleotide unclassified non-coding RNA is filed under the name plant metagenome. Its description in RNAcentral is "partial contains small subunit ribosomal RNA, internal transcribed spacer 1, and 5.8S ribosomal RNA". The record is from RNAcentral.